RNAcentral lists this transfer RNA (85 nucleotides) under Williopsis jadinii. RNAcentral's name for it is "Cyberlindnera jadinii tRNA-Leu". It matches the Rfam family "tRNA". Rfam says of the family: Transfer RNA (tRNA) molecules are approximately 80 nucleotides in length. Lineage: Eukaryota; Fungi; Ascomycota; Saccharomycetes; Phaffomycetales; Wickerhamomycetaceae. The record is from RNAcentral.
GGAUCUUUGGCCAAGCGGUUUAAGGCGCUCGACUCAAGAUCGAGUAUCGUAAGAUGCAUGAGUUCGAAUCUCAUAGGAUCCACCA